This 440-nucleotide ribosomal RNA is filed under the name uncultured bacterium. Its description in RNAcentral is "bacterial SSU rRNA". It matches the Rfam family "Bacterial small subunit ribosomal RNA", at positions 338 to 795 of the family's 1533-position model. The record is from RNAcentral.
CCUACGGGUGGCAGCAGUAGGGAAUCUUGGACAAUGGGCGAAAGCCUGAUCCAGCCAUGCCGCGUGAGUGAAGAAGGCCUUAGGGUUGUAAAGCUCUUUUGGCGGGGACGAUAAUGACGGUACCCGCAGAAUAAGCCCCGGCUAACUUCGUGCCAGCAGCCGCGGUAAUACGAAGGGGGCUAGCGUUGUUCGGAAUUACUGGGCGUAAAGCGCACGCAGGCGGAUCGAUAAGUCGGGGGUGAAAUCCCGGGGCUCAACCUCGGAAUUGCCUUCGAUACUGUCGAUCUCGAGUCCGGGAGAGGUGAGUGGAAUUCCUAGUGUAGAGGUGAAAUUCGUAGAUAUUAGGAAGAACACCAGUGGCGAAGGCGGCUCACUGGCCCGGUACUGACGCUCAGGUGCGAAAGCGUGGGGAGCAAACAGGAUUAGAUACCCUGGUAGUC